RNAcentral lists this long non-coding RNA (2110 nucleotides) under Homo sapiens (human). RNAcentral's name for it is "non-protein coding lnc-HSP90AA1-3:1". The record is from RNAcentral. Lineage: Eukaryota; Metazoa; Chordata; Mammalia; Primates; Hominidae.
CCAUGAGCGUACCUGCCCCUGGGGCUGUGUGAAGAACAGAUGGGACCAUGUGGUACAGCUGCUAGCACAGUGAGCAGUCAAUCACGGCUGUUGUUGCUAUCACCAUUGUCAUUAGCAGUAGCAAUGAUGGUGGUGCUCUAGCCCCAUCGGCACCGAUCCCUGACCCCCAUUCUGGGGGUAAGCCUUACUUGAGGAAUGUAAAAGGCUUAAAAGGGACAGACUUAAAAAAAAAAAUAGUUUCCUUUACUGAAAAGCAAAAAGCAGAAGCCUUAAGUUGCAUUUUAUUUACUGAGGUUUUAAAAAAAAUUGUGGCAAAAGAUAAAUAAAAUUUACCAUUUUAAUCAUUUGAAGUGUAUAAUUCAGUGGCAUUAAGUAAAUCUGUAAAGCUCUACGACCAUCACCACCAUCCAUUUCCAGACAUUUUUGUCAUCCCAAAGAGAAAUUCUGUACACAUUAAACAGUAACUCCCCACCACUCCCAACCUGAGGAGCAGUGUGGGACAGGACACCAUGCAAGGUGAAGACCCUCCCCAGCAUCCUGCGUUUUGCAAGGACCUAGUGCCUGCUCAGCUGUCACCCGUCAGGCAGAACACCGAAACUCAGCCACAAGCUGCUGCUGCCAUCCCCAGCAUAUAACGAAGGAAAAAUUAAGCAAGUGUGUGCUUCUUUAGCCUCCUCUCUUAAUACUGCAUCUUCAGAAUUAAAACUGUGGUGGGCCAGAGUCCUUUUGGUGGCCACGUAUUACCUCUGACCAUCACCUGCUGCUCAAACCCACACUCACGCCACUGCAUGAUCCCUUCCACCCCAGGGCCCUUGCACACGAUGAGCCCCUGGCCUGCAAUGCCCUUCCUUCACUUCCUUCAUCGUCACCUUCUCAGUAAAGCCCUCCCUGCCUCUUUUGUAAAUUUCUUCCCAUCCUCUAUACCCUUCCCACCUCUCUCCCCAUCUUUAGCUUUUCCCUGUAUCACUUAUUCAACACAGCAUAGAUUUUGUUGAAGGCAGGGGUUUCUGCCUUCUGUUUAAUGCUAGCUGCCCAGUGCCUAGAAAAGUGCCUGGCAUCCAGUAGGUGUUCAAUAGAUAUUUAUAGAGUUAAAUGCACUAAACUUAGGAGGCGGAAGUUGUUUUUUUUGGAGGCCUUUGCCCAUUUCACUCCCUCCUUCCCGUUCCACCUUCUAGGUUUCUCAUUCCCUCUGCUUCUUCUCUUUUGCUGGCUCUGGCCUGCAGCCCUCUUGCCCCUGGUGUAAAGGGCUCAAAACGCCAGACAGCUCUGCCGCCAUGGGGAGGAGACCCUGACUGAGAAGCCAGGGCCCCGGCCUCCAGGGUCACCAGUACCUUGGGCAGGCCGGGGUGUCGCUGGGGCUUGGGUGACUCCACCAGGCAUGGAGGGGGUGGGUACUCCCAGCUGGCUCGCCAACCUUCGCUUCUUGCCUCGCAAAGGCAACCUGGCGGAGGGUCUGUGGGUCAAGCAGAGUCCAGCUCUAGUUUCUCCCCUUCCAGGCUGUGCGCCCUCAGCCAGGCCUCUCCUCGCCUACAGGGCUCGCGGACACUUCUGACCCUCACUGAGGUCGUAAAGAUUACAAGUCAGUGGUCCACAACGACUGGCGUCGGGCCCGCCGCAUACCCACUAUGUACGACUGGCCGCUAAGUCAGCCGAGGCCCUGGGGCUCCGCUCCACAACCCAGCCCACGGUCAGCUUUCCUGGGCUGCUCCGUCCCGCGAGGCCAUCGCCCCAUUCAUAUUCGGCAGGGCAUUUCCACGCGUCCCGUCUCAGGCAAGCCCCAGAGCACCCUUUUUCGGGCAACACUGUGCCCACUUCACUGGAGAGGGAACUGAGGUCCACGUCAUUGGGAGAGGAACACGUGACAUAUUGAGCUCUUUCCUCAGCAAGUGACCUAACCCGCCUUGCCCUCGGCCGUGAGCAGAGGGCCAGACCGGAAGUCCGCUAGCUCUGCUGUUCCGAGGCCCGCCAGUCUCCAAACCCCGGUCUUAGAUCGAGGUCUCUGGCCGUUUCCCUCCGCAGCAAAACCCUUGUUCCAGGACUACACCAGACGGGUCACACGACCUAGAUCGGCACGGUCACAUGUCCCGCAGUCCGGUCAUGUGCACCCUCG